RNAcentral lists this ribosomal RNA (448 nucleotides) under uncultured bacterium. Its description in RNAcentral is "bacterial SSU rRNA". It matches the Rfam family "Bacterial small subunit ribosomal RNA", at positions 28 to 507 of the family's 1533-position model. The record is from RNAcentral.
GAUGAACGCUAGCGGCAGGCUUAAUACAUGCAAGUCAAGGGGGUAGCAAUACAACCGGCGCACGGGUGAGUAACACGUACACAACAUACCAUAUACUGAGGUAUAGCUUCGGGAAACUGAAGGUAAUCCCUCAUAGUAUUGUGAAAGGGCAUCUUUUUACAAUUAAAGUUUCGACGGUAUAUGAUUGGUGUGCGUUUGAUUAGUUAGUUGGUAGGGUAACGGCCUACCAAGCCGACGAUCCAUAGCUGGUUUGAGAGGAUGAUCAGCAACACUGGGACUGAGACACGGCCCAGACUCCUACGGGAGGCAGCAGUGGGGAAUCUUAGACAAUGGGGGAAACCCUGAUCUAGCCAUGCCGCGUGGACGAUGAAGGCCUUAGGGUUGUAAAGUCCUUUCAGCUGGGAAGAUAAUGACGGUACCAGCAGAAGAAGCCCCGGCUAACUCCGUG